This 257-nucleotide unclassified non-coding RNA is filed under the name Glomus sp. Its description in RNAcentral is "partial contains 5.8S ribosomal RNA and internal transcribed spacer 2". The stretch from base 1 to 65 matches the Rfam family "5.8S ribosomal RNA", at positions 84 to 154 of the family's 154-position model. The record is from RNAcentral. Lineage: Eukaryota; Fungi; Glomeromycota; Glomeromycetes; Glomerales; Glomeraceae.
GUGAAUCAUCGAAUUUUUGAACGCAAAUUGCACUCUCCUCGGAGAGGAUGCCUGUUUGAGGGUCAGCCUAUAAAAAAUCGACAUCGUUGCUGUUUAGCGGUGGCGUUCGUCGGAAAUCGGGUCAUCUUAAAUCCUUUUGGUUUUUAAGCGACUUAAAAUUUUCUUUUUGGUUCCAUGAACGUUUCUAAGAUUUAUUUCUUUACUCGUUUAAGGGAUCGAUUUUUAUUAGACGUUAACAUCAUAUCAGAUAUCGUCUA